AUUUGGCUGAGUAAACUGAGGCUGUCCCACUCUGUAAAGUGUAAUCUCUAGAGUUCUCUAGAACAUUCCUCGUGAUGAUAAGGAAAAGUUAUAACAACAGUCCCUCACUUGUUACUUGAGCACCACUGGUUCCUGUCAUCCAUGACUAGGUCAGUGCUUCUCCACUCUGUAUACCCUACUGUUAAUUGCACGCGAAAUGAUGCAACUGUUUUGGUACCUGAAGUAAGUAUGACGUGUCGAGAAGGUUGGACCUCAUAUACUUGAGACAUUUAGGCACGUCACGCUAAUAGCUAAUUGGGGUUAGAUUAAGCAAUAAUUGUGACGGCCCCCCUCCCCAAUCUAAUUAUGAUACAUGAUAUAUAUAAAGAGUGGCGUUCCAUCUCAGCUCAUUGUUAACUCGGUACUAAUUGUAAUUGUGUCCCUCAAGAACAGCUUAGAAGGGGGUUGCAAUAUGACAAGUCAACUCGAAUGAUCAUUGGUUGAUUGUUUCACGUUUUGCUUAGUCUUGGUAUACUUUGUCAAGGUGAAAGAUAAUUGCUCAGUCUCAAGAUUGCUAUUAUAAAUAAAACUAGGACCACUAAAUUACAGAGCUCAUUGUUGAAUGUUGCGGCACUAAUUCUCCUUUAGUAGAUUGGAGAUGUUGUUCUUUGUGUCACUAGUUGCACUGCUCCUGACGGCGACAAGACCCGAGUCUAUUGACCCUGAAACCCAAGAAGAAACAGAAAAGUGUUUAAAAUCCAAACACGAGGAUGAAUAUGGAACAGAUUGGGCUUCCAACAACAGCAAAUCCGGAGGUAGUCUAGUGUCCUUUCGAAGAAGAAGAAGACAAGCCAUAGUCGAGAGGAAACUCGAGAAGAAAUCAUCAAAAACACAUGAAACCAACAUUUUGUUUCGUGGGUCUUGCGAUAGUUACUUCGCUAUCUAUGGUUCUGCGCUUGAGGCUCUGAAGAAAAUGUCAACCAACCUGACUGUAGGAUGUUCGGUAAACAAACAUUCUGCUAUUUCGUGUAUCUACAGCUAUCGUUUGCCUGGUUUGUAGUUGUAUAUUAAGGUGGUAUUAUUUGUGGAAUUUCAGUUGGUAUUUUUCUAAUGACAGAUGGUAUUUCAUGAACCAAGAUUUAGUUAAGAGGCACAGGAUGGAAGUUUGAAUUUUUUCGUGCUUAAUAAAACACUAUUUCUUGUUAUUGUUUACACAUAGUGGAAUGAAGUGUUUCAGAAUGAUUGCAUUAUUAUUAUGGUUGUACCUUUUAUUGAGAAGUAAUAAAUGCACAUGUUUGAAUUCAA
Long non-coding RNA from Bolinopsis microptera, 1284 nucleotides. RefSeq lists it as uncharacterized. The record is from RefSeq and is a predicted model, not a curated record. NCBI's taxonomy places the organism in Eukaryota, Metazoa, Ctenophora, Tentaculata, Lobata, Bolinopsidae. The transcript has 2 exons.